This 69-nucleotide unclassified non-coding RNA is filed under the name Bhargavaea beijingensis. The record is from RNAcentral. Lineage: Bacteria; Bacillati; Bacillota; Bacilli; Caryophanales; Caryophanaceae.
AACCGCCGUAUACCGAACGGUACGUACGGUGGUGUGAGAGGACGGGGUUAGUCACCCCUCCUUCUCGAU